AGAGGGAUAGCUGGGUCAAAUAGUGAUUCUAUUCCAAGUUUUCUGAGGAACCUCCAUACUGCUUUCCAAAAUGAUAGCAUCAAUUUGCAUUCCCACCAGCAGU
Molecule: microRNA precursor, 103 nt
Filed under: Marmota monax (woodchuck)
Lineage: Eukaryota; Metazoa; Chordata; Mammalia; Rodentia; Sciuridae
Source: RNAcentral